Molecule: non-coding RNA, 412 nt
Organism: Paramuricea clavata
Lineage: Eukaryota; Metazoa; Cnidaria; Anthozoa; Malacalcyonacea; Plexauridae
Source: the annotation of a GenBank genome assembly
UUAAAAAGCAGGAUUCACUCGUCGAAAGAUAGAUACCGCGUAUAAGAAAGGAGAGCAGCCUAUCUCAACCUGAUACAAUAUAAAGAAAUCAUGACAACGCUAUUUUAUUUUAUCUUGUUGAUUGUAUGUACUCAAACCUCGGCGGUCUGGCCCAGAGGGCAAUACUGUCUACCAAUGCCAUCAAACGAACGAUGCCCUCUCGGUUGGGAAGAAGGUUAUCGUUUCCACACCACAGAAGGCAACAAUACGGUACGAGGGGACGUCCCGUAUGUUGCAACGCGAGGCAAAGAUCUAGGAUGGGGAUUUUGUUGUAAAACUAGAGUGAGAUAUUCGCGCGUAAGUUCGUGGCCAAAGGGAAGUUACUGCAUCUUUCGUAAAGGAGGAUUUUGUCCUCGAGGAUUUAUGGAAGGUA